Molecule: ribosomal RNA, 468 nt
Filed under: uncultured bacterium
Lineage: Bacteria
Description: partial 16S ribosomal RNA
Rfam family: Bacterial small subunit ribosomal RNA
Source: RNAcentral
GACGAACGCUGGCGGCGUGCUUAACACAUGCAAGUCGAACGGAAAGGCCCUGCUUUUGUGGGGUGCUCGAGUGGCGAACGGGUGAGUAACACGUGAGUAACCUGCCCUGGACUUUGGGAUAACUUCAGGAAACUGGGGCUAAUACCGGAUAGGAGCUCCUGCUGCAUGGUGGGGGUUGGAAAGUUUCGGCGGUUGGGGAUGGACUCGCGGCUUAUGAGCUUGUUGGUGGGGUAGUGGCUUACCAAGGCUUUGACGGGUAGCCGGCCUGAGAGGGUGACCGGCCACAUUGGGACUGAGAUACGGCCCAGACUCCUACGGGAGGCAGCAGUGGGGAAUAUUGCACAAUGGGCGGAAGCCUGAUGCAGCAACGCCGCGUGCGGGAUGACGGCCUUCGGGUUGUAAACCGCUUUCGCCUGUGACGAAGCGUGAGUGACGGUAAUGGGUAAAGAAGCACCGGCUAACUACGUG